RNAcentral lists this microRNA precursor (95 nucleotides) under Mayetiola destructor (Hessian fly). Its description in RNAcentral is "microRNA mir-210". It matches the Rfam family "mir-210 microRNA precursor family". Lineage: Eukaryota; Metazoa; Arthropoda; Insecta; Diptera; Cecidomyiidae. The record is from RNAcentral.
AUGGUACCUAUUGCAGCUGCUGGCCACUGCACAUGAUUAGAAUUCAACUCUUGUGCGUGUGACAGCGGCUAUUGUGGGCUAUUCAAAACAUCAUA